CAAGCAGGGAUCUGCAGGGGUGUUUCUACAUCUGUCCAUCACCAUACCAACCUGUGAAAAACUCUUGAGAGAUAUUUACUGCUUCAUCUCUGCCUUCCAGGUUUCAUGUCAAGUAAAAAUUGAGUGGGCUUCCUAUCUAUUUCACUUCGAGAAACACCAGGAUUAACUAGCCAACACCAUAGGUCUGCAUGAGUCAGAUUAUUCUGAUUGCUGCAUUGAAUCUGCUGUCCGCAGACCCUGAGACAGGGAUUCCAGGCAAGGAGUUAAUGUGAGAAGUGAUCCCAGUGAAGUGGGU
This 295-nucleotide long non-coding RNA is filed under the name Homo sapiens (human). RNAcentral's name for it is "HSALNT0359885". The record is from RNAcentral. Lineage: Eukaryota; Metazoa; Chordata; Mammalia; Primates; Hominidae.